UCCGGGAUUUUUCCUUAAGCCGUGAUCCCAAUUCCCCCCUGUUUUUGGGGAAGAGAGGCCGGCCUUGGUUGUGUUUUUGGGAGAGCCCCCGCGGUUUUUUAGUUGGUGGGGGCGGUAACGGCUCCACCAAGGGGGAUCUUUCCUUCACCGAAUUGGAGGGCUUCCUUCGGCCCCAUUGGGACUGGGACCAGGCCCCAAAUUCUUACGGGAGGCAGCAUUAGGGAAUCUUCCACAAUGGACCCAAGUCUGAUGGAGCAACGCCGCGUGGAAGAAGAAAGGCUUUCGGGUCGUAAAACUCUGUUGUUGGAGAAGAAUGGUCGGCAGAGUAACUGUUGUCGGCGUGACGGUAUCCAACCAGAAAGCCACGGCUAACUACGUGCCAGCAGCCGCGGUAAUACGUAGGUGGCAAGCGUUAUCCGGAUUUAUUGGGCGUAAAGCGAGCGCAGGCGGUUUUUUAAGUCUGAUGUGAAAGCCCUCGGCUUAACCGAGGAAGCGCAUCGGAAACUGGGAAACUUGAGUGCAGAAGAGGACAGUGGAACUCCAUGUGUAGCGGUGAAAUGCGUAGAUAUAUGGAAGAACACCAGUGGCGAAGGCGGCUGUCUGGUCUGUAACUGACGCUGAGGCUCGAAAGCAUGGGUAGCGAACAGGAUUAGAUACCCUGGUAGUCCAUGCCGUAAACGAUGAAUGCUAGGUGUUGGAGGGUUUCCGCCCUUCAGUGCCGCAGCUAACGCAUUAAGCAUUCCGCCUGGGGAGUACGACCGCAAGGUUGAAACUCAAAGGAAUUGACGGGGGCCCGCACAAGCGGUGGAGCAUGUGGUUUAAUUCGAAGCAACGCGAAGAACCUUACCAGGUCUUGACAUCUUUUGAUCACCUGAGAGAUCAGGUUUCCCCUUCGGGGGCAAAAUGACAGGUGGUGCAUGGUUGUCGUCAGCUCGUGUCGUGAGAUGUUGGGUUAAGUCCCGCAACGAGCGCAACCCUUAUGACUAGUUGCCAGCAUUUAGUUGGGCACUCUAGUAAGACUGCCGGUGACAAACCGGAGGAAGGUGGGGAUGACGUCAAAUCAUCAUGCCCCUUAUGACCUGGGCUACACACGUGCUACAAUGGAUGGUACAACGAGUUGCGAGACCGCGAGGUCAAGCUAAUCUCUUAAAGCCAUUCUCAGUUCGGACUGUAGGCUGCAACUCGCCUACACGAAGUCGGAAUCGCUAGUAAUCGCGGAUCAGCACGCCGCGGUGAAUACGUUCCCGGGCCUUGUACACACCGCCCGUCACACCAUGAGAGUUUGUAACACCCGAAGCCGGUGGCGUAACCCUUUAGGGAGCGAGCCGUCUAAGGUGGAACAAGAUGGGA
RNAcentral lists this ribosomal RNA (1350 nucleotides) under Lacticaseibacillus paracasei. RNAcentral describes it as "bacterial SSU rRNA". It matches the Rfam family "Bacterial small subunit ribosomal RNA", at positions 167 to 1480 of the family's 1533-position model. The record is from RNAcentral. Lineage: Bacteria; Bacillati; Bacillota; Bacilli; Lactobacillales; Lactobacillaceae.